CACGGGGGGAGCAAACGUUAUUUGGAAUUACUGGGCUUAAAGGGUGCGUAGGCGGCGCGGAAAGUUGGGUGUGAAAUCCCUCGGCUCAACCGAGGAACUGCGCCCAAAACUACCGUGCUCGAGGGAGAUAGAGGAAUGCGGAACUUAGGGUGGAGCGGUGAAAUGCGUUGAUAUCCUAGGGAACACCGGUGGCGAAAGCGGCAUUCUGGAUCUCUUCUGACGCUGAGGCACGAAAGCUAGGGUAGCAAACGGG
This 253-nucleotide ribosomal RNA is filed under the name uncultured bacterium. RNAcentral describes it as "partial 16S ribosomal RNA". It matches the Rfam family "Bacterial small subunit ribosomal RNA", at positions 524 to 776 of the family's 1533-position model. The record is from RNAcentral.